This 585-nucleotide unclassified non-coding RNA is filed under the name Athalia rosae (coleseed sawfly). RNAcentral describes it as "misc RNA ENSAEAG00005003836.1". Lineage: Eukaryota; Metazoa; Arthropoda; Insecta; Hymenoptera; Athaliidae. The record is from RNAcentral.
CGCUACGUUAUCUCAAUCUAUCAAUCACUUCGUGACAUUUCCCCGGUAUAUAGGCGCGAUGGAAGUGGGCGGUCUUACCACGGCGACCUUUGACCCUUCGGAGCGCUGCCUUGCGCCUUGUCUUAUACACUACCUGCUGCAACGCGGUGCACAACACUCGUUCGACGUUCCUUUUUCACGUUCCUUUUUCUUCUUCUCCUUUUUCGUCCGCUUUGUUUUUUCUUUUUUUUGAAUGCCGUAACAAGCCGCUGAGCGUACGCCGCGUACGUUACACACCGGUUCGAAUAAACGCGAACGGCGAGGGGCACGCGAUAGGGGUGGGUUCGGCUAAACGGUCGUAGAAAAUAUUCAUCCGGCGCGCGUUCCUAUACGUUACGGAUCUUGGCGCAGUCUGGUACACGCCACGGUGAAAAGUGCGCAUCAAAACAACGGGGAGUAGUAACUACCUACAUGAACUGAGUAGCAAUUAAUUAAGUCGGUAUCACCGCGCGAUGCUGUACGCCAGAAGGCGGAGAGGCUCGACGCGGCGUUCCCGCGGUGCGGAGGUAUGCAUAGGCGAUGCGAUGACGAAUGGAUAUAACCGGG